Molecule: small RNA, 76 nt
Filed under: Xanthomonas arboricola pv. populi
Lineage: Bacteria; Pseudomonadati; Pseudomonadota; Gammaproteobacteria; Lysobacterales; Lysobacteraceae
Description: sX9 sRNA
Rfam family: Xanthomonas sRNA sX9
Source: RNAcentral
AUGGACCACGCGGGCACUGCGUUCUGGGCGUGUAGUCCGCACCCACCUGACGAUCGCUCACUACGUGUUGUUAGCC